UUUGUUUAAUAGUGGCAGGACAAAUAUCAUCCGUCGUCUGCUUAAAACUCUUCACUGUGUUGAUGAUGGAGAAAGAGUCGUACACUCACGAACCGGCCACCGGCGGCCAGUUUGCAUGUCCUUCGCGCUUUAAGGUUGCGGGGAACAUUACGUAAAACUGUCAAUGCGGUGGUGUAGUUGGGUGAGAACUGAACGUGUUGCAACAUUAUCAAGCAGACCAAUCCCCAGCACCAUCAACCUAAAGAAGGAAAGGUCCAUUUCCUUCACUUUCGAAGGUCACGAGAAACAUAACGUAAAACGUGUCAUGCGACUGCGGAGAGGCUGGGUGAGGACGACACGUGUUGCACCAUUAUCAAGCAGUAAACUAUGGCGUUGUGCUGCUGUUGGGUGUUGAAUCGCUGACGGUUGGGUCGACCACUGGUGUACCGAUGUCUCCUGGUCCUGUGUAUGGUGGAUAUCAAAGCUCAACAUUGCAGUUAAUACUCAUCAUCAACCAAUGCUGCUCCAGCUUACACCACCAAGGCUUCAGAGUAUUACAAGUUGCAUUAAAGGAGAGAAAAGGCUUUUCCGGCACGACAACAACUUCCGCGCACAAUUUGUCACCAACUGCCUUCUUCAUCGUAUAAAGCGUAAACUGUGGCCUCGUGCUGCUGUUGGUUGCUGUCUUGAAAUACUACACCAUGCACCGAGGCUUCAAAGUAUUACACUACAAUUUAUGCCGCCGCGAGCUGUAUAACCAAAGAGCCUGAACCCACCCCCCAUCAACUUCCAAUUUGCAUGUCCUUCACGCUUGAAGGUCGCGGAGAUCUUUACGUAUAAUAGCCGUUAGGCUUAGGAGAGGGGUCAGGGUGAGAAAAAGUCGUAUAAAUGGCAAGAGAAAAGUCGAAGGUAUCAGUCGAGUGAGUAUCUCCAUCACGGCAACAACUGCGGCCCACUAUUUGUCACCAACUGCCUUCUUCAUUAUACAACCAGUUCGCAAUCAUGGUUAACUCUGGCGCCGUGCUGCUGUUUGGUGUUGUAUCGUUGAAGGUUGGGUCGACCACGGGUUUACUGAUGUUUUCUGGUUAUGGUGGAGACCAAGCAACAGCAGUGAAAGAAUACUACACCACGCCGCCGCCUUACUACGCAAUGAAGUCAACAUACGCAACAUCUACUUACAACACCGAGGCCCCCCAAGUGCUACACCACCAAUGCUCAAGAGUUACGCUUCAAAUUACGCUGCCCCGAGUUACAUCACCAAAGCGCCUGAGUACUACAUCACCGAGGCACUACAACUGAGGCGGUGAAGUACUACGUAGCCCAGGCUUACAACACGGCAGCUGCUCCUUUAUACUACGUUGAACUGAAAUACUACACCAAGGCUGCAGUUAACUACGCCAGAACCUACGCUACACCUAGCUACUAUGACGAAGCCCCCAACUACUACACCGAAGAGGCCGCAUGUUACACAUCAACGUACAGUGCCCUAGUUUACUACACCGAGGAACCCAAGUAUUAAUCUGCUCCAAGCUACUACCAAACUGAGGCUCCUGUUUGCUACACCAAGGCCACCGAGUACUACACUACAACCAAACGUUAACUAUGGCGUCGUGCUGCUGUUAGUUGUAUUAUCCUUGAUGGCUGGGUUGACUACUGGUGUACCGAUGUCUCCUGGGUAUGGCGGAUACCAAACCGCAACGCCGGCAUCUUACUACAC
This 1696-nucleotide long non-coding RNA is filed under the name Daphnia pulicaria. RNAcentral's name for it is "uncharacterized LOC124326671, transcript variant X2". The record is from RNAcentral. Lineage: Eukaryota; Metazoa; Arthropoda; Branchiopoda; Diplostraca; Daphniidae.